This 377-nucleotide ribosomal RNA is filed under the name uncultured bacterium. RNAcentral describes it as "bacterial SSU rRNA". It matches the Rfam family "Bacterial small subunit ribosomal RNA", at positions 29 to 433 of the family's 1533-position model. The record is from RNAcentral.
AACGAACGCUGGCGGCAUGCCUAACACAUGCAAGUCGAACGAGACCUUCGGGUCUAGUGGCGCACGGGUGCGUAACGCGUGGGAACCUGCCUUUAGGUUCGGAAUAACUCAGAGAAAUUUGAGCUAAUACCGGAUAAUGUCUUCGGACCAAAGAUUUAUCGCCUUUAGAUGGGCCCGCGUUGGAUUAGCUAGUUGGUGAGGUAAAGGCUCACCAAGGCGACGUAUCCAUAGCUGGUCUGAGAGGAUGAUCAGCCACACUGGGACUGAGACACGGCCCAGACUCCUACGGGGGCAGCAGUGGGAAUAUUGGACAAUGGGCGAAAGCCUGAUCCAGCAAUGCCGCGUGAGUGAUGAACGGCCUUAGGGUUGUAAAGCUC